GCAGAAGCAGAACUGUCAUGGGAAUUUGAACCCUGACCUGGGUCCUUCAGAGAGGGAUCAAGUUCCUCAUGUGAGGGUCCACUAGUUUUUGGUAGUGCAGCGCCUUCAACAGUUACAAUGGUCCCUUCGUCCCCCAUACCUUGUACCUCAUUUUUCUAGGAGAUGAUCUCAUACAGCACACUAUGAAGACUGUUGCAACAUUUUCUUCCUCAAUCGCCACUACUUACACCAGUGAAUCUGUAUCAACAUCUGUGGAAUCCUCUGUGACCUCGAGGUUUUGACCUUAUUCUCUGUUUGGUCUUUGAUUAGAUGGAACCUCAAAAGAUGAAAAGGAUAGAUCAACAAUUUUAGGGGUUUUUGAAAUAGAAAAAGACGAGGAAUCUAGGUGAGGUGUGAUUUUAGCAGGAAGGGGUAAG
This 416-nucleotide long non-coding RNA is filed under the name Nicotiana benthamiana. RNAcentral's name for it is "long non-coding RNA (NBEN_LNC016497)". The record is from RNAcentral. Lineage: Eukaryota; Viridiplantae; Streptophyta; Magnoliopsida; Solanales; Solanaceae.